Molecule: ribosomal RNA, 244 nt
Filed under: uncultured bacterium
Lineage: Bacteria
Description: partial 16S ribosomal RNA
Rfam family: Bacterial small subunit ribosomal RNA
Source: RNAcentral
CGGUAGGGCGGGACCGGGGUGGAGUAAUGUCUGGGAAACGUCUCGAUGGAGGGGGAUAACUACUGGAAACGGUAGCUAAUACCGCAUAACGUCGCAAGACCAAAGAGGGGGACCUUCGGGCCUCUUGCCAUCGGAUGUGCCCAGAUGGGAUUAGCUAGUAGGUGGGGUAACGGCUCACCUAGGCGACGAUCCCUAGCUGGUCUGAGAGGAUGACCAGCCACACUGGAACUGAGACACGGUCCAG